CCUACGGGAGGCAGCAGUGGGGAAUAUUGCGCAAUGGGCGAAAGCCUGACGCAGCGACGCCGCGUGAGGGAUGAAGGUCUUCGGAUCGUUAACCUCUGUCAGCAGGGAAGAACGGUCACUGUGCUAAUCAGCAGUGAAUUGACGGUACCUGCAAAGGACGCACCGGCUAACUCCGUGCCAGCAGCCGCGGUAAUACGGAGGGUGCGAGCGUUAAUCGGAAUUACUGGGCGUAAAGCGCGCGUAGGCGGUAUGUCAAGUCAAGGGUGAAAGCCCCGCGCUCAACGUGGGAACUGCCUUUGAAACUGGCAAACUUGAGUGUGUGAGAGGAUGGUGGAAUUCCAGGUGUAGGGGUGAAAUCCGUAGAUAUCUGGAGGAACAUCAGUGGCGAAGGCGACUAUCUGGCACAUAACUGACGCUGAGGAGCGAAAGCGUGGGUAGCAAACAGGAUUAGAUACCCUAGUAGUC
Molecule: ribosomal RNA, 465 nt
Filed under: uncultured bacterium
Lineage: Bacteria
Description: partial 16S ribosomal RNA
Rfam family: Bacterial small subunit ribosomal RNA
Source: RNAcentral